UGUCGACGAUAUCAGGCAACACAGUUGUGCCAGUGGAGAAUUUCCCGUUCUCCCCGGACGUUUCAAGGCCACGCAGACGGUCGCUGAGCAGAGCCGUACCGCCGGCCCAAGACCUAGUCACCAGUCUUUGGGUGCCCGAUCAAGGUACCAUCCGUCAACGGCCGCCAACUGGAGGCACUGAUCCGGAUAAACCACCGUUCACUAUAGACGGAAAAUCCCUCCACCCAGUAGUGGAGAGGUGCAACUUAGAUCUAGCGAUGCAGUUAUACACUGCCUCGCCAUCGUAUAACACCUACCAAGCCACACCCGUUCUGGUAGUAGGCAAAGGUAAUUAAAGAUUUUGCCCCCA
Long non-coding RNA from Daphnia pulicaria, 349 nucleotides. RefSeq lists it as uncharacterized. The record is from RefSeq and is a predicted model, not a curated record. The transcript is spliced from 3 exons. NCBI's taxonomy places the organism in Eukaryota, Metazoa, Arthropoda, Branchiopoda, Diplostraca, Daphniidae.